Long non-coding RNA from Centropristis striata (black sea bass), 534 nucleotides. RefSeq lists it as uncharacterized. NCBI's taxonomy places the organism in Eukaryota, Metazoa, Chordata, Actinopteri, Perciformes, Serranidae. The transcript has 3 exons. The record is from RefSeq and is a predicted model, not a curated record.
UGAUAAAAGGGUUAAUUUGGAGUUUAAGAAAGUAUACCACCAUGGUAACAGCUAUAAACAAAUUCUCUGUUAUUACUGGAUGUGCAGUGGUGUGUGACUUACGGACUCCUCUCUCUCCAUAGCCCAGGUGUGGAGGAAUAACAAGGUGCCUUUUCUCUCCCACACACAUCUCCAUCAGUCCGUCCUCCAUCCCUGGGACCACCUGGUUGGCUCCCAGGACGAUGUUGCGAACAACAGUGACCUCAGUGCUGUCAGACGGGUUGUGGAAGUCGAUGAUGUGAACGUCAAACACCAGCACAGCUGAACCAGGGAUCUUAGAGCCUGACAGAGACAUGGGAAAGACCAAAAAAAUAUGAAACACUCCAGAAAAAGGAGUAUAAAUGGACAUCUUCAGUGCACAGGGACAUGCUGCCACCCUGAGGCCACUUGAAGAAUAACAUUAAUUUCUAUUUAUAAUAAAAUUUACUUUGAGUCUGUUACUAACAUGAUGAUUAUUGAAAAUUGACACAAACCUGGAAUCAAAAAAUGUUCCAU